UGAUAUGCUUGUCUUAAAGAUUAAGCCAUGCAUGUAUCAGUACAAGCCRMACUAAGGUGAAACCGCGAAUGGCUCAUUAAAUCAGUUAUUAUUUACUGGCCGAGACAGUGAUACAUGGAUAACUGUGGUAAUUCUAGAGCUAAUACAUGCAACCGAGCCCCRGYWUCGGCUCUCGGGCCRGCGCGGGGCGCUUUUAUUGGCUGAAAACCGAUGRYCGCCCUCGGGGCGGUCGUUAUUCGAUGAAUCACAAUAACAUUGUGUGGAUCGUAYGGUCUYGYACCGACGACGCGCCUUUCAAAUAUCUGCCUUAUCAGCUCUCGACGGUUUGCUAGUGGCUGACCGUGGCUCUGACGGGUAACGGGGAAUCUGGGUUCGGUUCCGGAGAGGGAGCCUGAGAGAUGGCUACCACAUCUAAGGAAGGCAGCAGGCGCGUAACUUACCCACUCCCAGUUCAGGGAGGUAGUGACAAUAAAUACCUUACAGAGGUYUCGUUAACCGAGAUCUCUYAAACGGAAUGAGUACAACGUGAAUCCUUUAACGAGGAUCGACUGGAGGGCAAGCCUGGUGCCAGCAGCCGCGGUAAUUCCAGCUCCAGUAGCGUAUAUUAAAGUUGUUGCGGUUAAUGAAUGCCUGUAUACAUAUUCAUGGAAUUGGAGAAUACGUCCCUGGCUCGAUUUGGUUGGUUUUGAGAGUCGAAGGGAAAUGAUUAAUAGGGACUGACGGAGGCAUUCGUAUUGCGACGCGAGGGGUGAAAUCCUGUGACCGUCGCACGACGAACUACUGCGAAAGCAUUUGCCGAGAAUGUUUUCAUUAGUCAAGAACGAAAGUUAGAGGUUCGAAGGCGAUCAGAUACCGCCCUAGUUCUAACCGUAAACGAUGUCGACCAGCAAUCCGCAACGGUCACUACACGGACUGUGCGGGCAGCUUCCCCGGGGAAACCAGAGUGUAUGGACUCCGGGGGAAGUAUGGUUGCAAAGCUGAAACUUAAAGGAAUUGACGGAAGGGCACCACCAGGAGUGGAGCUUGCGGCUUAAUUUGACUCAACACGGGACAACUCACCAGGCCCGGACACCGUAAGGAUUGACAGACUGAUAGCUCUCUCUUGAUUCAGUGGGUGGUGGUGCAUGGCCGUUCUUAGUUGGUGGAGUGAUUUGUCUGGUUUAUUCCGAUAACGAACGAGACUCUGGCCUAUUAAAUUUGACACCGUCAGUCUCUUGUGACUGCGGUGAGCUUCUUAGAGGGAUCAUCGGCGUCCCAGCCGAAGGAAAGGGAGCAAUAACAGGUCUGUGAUGCCCUUAGAUGUUCUGGGCUGCACGCGUGUUACACUGAAGUGGUCAGCGCGCCGUUCAACGUCCCACUCCGUGAGGAGCGGGCAAACGUUUGAACCCUUUUCGUGAUGGGAAUUGGGGGUUGCAAUUGUCCCCCAUGAACGAGGAAUUCCAAGUAAGCGCAGGUCACUAGCCUGCGUUGAUUAAGUCCCUGCCCUUUGUACACACCGCCCGUCGCUACUACCGAUGGAUGAUUUGGUGAGAUCGCCUAGACUGGCAGCUGGCUUCGGCCGUGCUGCCGGGAAGACGCUCAAACUUGGUCGUCUAGAGGAAGUAAAAGUCGUAACAAGGUUUCC
This 1624-nucleotide ribosomal RNA is filed under the name Microeuraphia sp. 1 MPL-2012. Its description in RNAcentral is "SSU rRNA". It matches the Rfam family "Eukaryotic small subunit ribosomal RNA". The record is from RNAcentral. Lineage: Eukaryota; Metazoa; Arthropoda; Thecostraca; Balanomorpha; Chthamalidae.